GGGGCUAGGGUAAGGUUUAAGGUUUUUGGGGUGAGGGUUAAAAUCACUGUCCAAGACAUUUUUAGGAACAAACCUUUUGGAGUUAAUUAGUCCAAAAAAAUGAACAAAGAAAAAAAAAAUGUUUGGGAUGUUAGGGCUUCCUAUAGGUAAUACCCGGGUAUUGGGAUACAAGGCUAGGGUAAGGAUUAAGGUUUUGGGGGUUAAAAUCACUGUCCAAGACAUUUUUAGGAACAAACCUUUUGGAGUUAAUUAGACCAAAAAAAUGAAAAAUGAAAAAAAAAAUGUUUGUCAUGUUAGGGCUUCCUUAAGGCAAUACCCGGUUAUUGGGUUACGGGGGUAAGGAUUAAGGUUUUUGGGGUUAGGGUUAAAAUAACUGUCCCAGACCUUUUUGUUACAAGUUUCAGACCUUUUGGAGAUAGUUAGUCAAAAAAAAAAAAAAAAACAUGAAAAAAAAAAUGUUUGGGGUUUUAGGGCUUCUUUUAGAUAAUACACGGGUAUGAAGGGUAAGGUUUAAGGUUUUUGGGGUGAGGGUUAAAAUCACUGUCCAAGACCUUUUUAGGAACAUCUUUCAAACCUUUUGGAGUUAGUUAGUCAAAAAAAAAAAAAAAGAAAAAAAAAUGUUUGGGGUGUUAGGGCUUCUUUUAGAUAAUACCCGGGUAUUAAGUUACAGGGCUAGGGUAAGGUUAAAGGUUUUUGGGGUUAGGGUUAAAAUCACUUUCCAAGAUCUUUUUAGGAACAUGUUUCAAACCUUUGGAGUUAAUUAGACAAAAAAAAAAAACGAAAAAUGAAAGAAAAAAUGUUUGGGGUGAUAGGGCUUCCUAUAGGUAAUACCCGGGUAUUAAGUUACGGGGCUAGGGUAAGGUUUAAGGUUUUUGGGGUUAGGGUUAAAAUCACUGUCCAAGACCAUUUUAGGAACAUGUUUCAAACCUUUGGAGUUAAUUAGACAAAAAAAAAACGAAAAAUGAAAGAAAAAAUGUUUUGGGUGUUAGGGCUUCCUUUAGGUAUUGGGAUACAGGGCUAGGGUAAGGAUUAAGGUUUUUUGGGGUAAGGGUUAAAAUCACUGUCCAAGACCUGUUUGUUACAUGUUUCAGACCUUUUGGAGUUAGUUAGUCCAAAAAAAAAAAAAAAAAGAAAAAAGAAAAGUUUGGGGUGUUAGGGCUUCCUAUUAAUAAUACCCGGGUAUUGGCUUUCGGGGCAAGGGUAAGGAUUAAGGUUUUUGGGGUUAGGGUUAAAUUAACUGUCCCAGACCUUUUUGUUACAAGUUUCAGACCUUUUGGAGAAAGUUUGUCCAAAAAAAAAAAAAAAAAACAUGAAAAAAAAAAUGUUUGGGGUUUUAGGGCUUCUUUUAGAUAAUACACGGGUAUGAAGUUACGGGGCUAGGGUAAGGUUUAAGGUUUUUGGGGUGAGGGUUAAAAUCACUGUCCAAGACAUUUUUAGGAACAAACCUUUUGGAGUUAAUUAGUCCAAAAAAAUGAACAAAGAAAAAAAAAAUGUUAGGGCUUCCUAUAGGUAAUACCCGGGUAUUGGGAUACAAGGCUAGGGUAAGGAUUAAGGUUUUGGGGGUUAAAAUCACUGUCCAAGACCUUUUUGUUACAUGUUUCAGACCUUUUGGAGUUAAUUAGAGCAUAAAAAACGAAAAUUAAAAAAAAAAUGUUUUGGGUGUUAGGGCUUCCUAUAGGUAAUACCCGGGUAUUGGGUUUAGCAGCUAGAGUAAGGUUUAAGGUUUUUGGGGUUAGGGUUAAAAUCACUGUCCAAGACCUUUUUAGGAACAUCUUUCAAACCUUUUGGAGUUAAUUAGACCAAAAAAAAAUGAAAAAUGAAAAAAAAAAUGUUUGUCAUGUUAGGGCUUCCUUAAGGCAAUACCCGGUUAUUGGGUUACGGGGGUAAGGAUUAAGGUUUUUGGGGUUAGGGUUAAAAUAACUGUCCCAGACCUUUUUGUUACAAGUUUCAGACCUUUUGGAGAUAGUUAGUCAAAAAAAAAAAAAAAACAUGAAAAAAAAAAUGUUUGGGGUUUUAGGGCUUCUUUUAGAUAAUACACAGGUAUGAAGUUAAGGGGCUAGGGUAAGGUUUAAGGUUUUUGGGGUGAGGGUUAAAAUCACUGUCCAAGACAUUUUUAGGAACAUGUUUCAAACCUUUUGGAGUUAAUUAGACCAAAAAAAAUGAAAAAAGAAAAAAAAAUGUUUGGGGUGGCGGGGUUUCCUAUAGGCACUACCUGGGUAUUGGGAUACAGGGCUAGGGUAAGGAUUAAGGUUUUUGGGGUUAGGGUUAAAAUUACUCUCCCAGACCUUUUUGUUACAUGUUUCAGACCUUUUGCAGUCAGUUAGUCCAAAAAAAAAAACAUGAAAAAAGAAAAGUUUGGGGAGUUAGGGCUUCCUAUUAAUAAUACCCGGGGUAUUGGGUUAUGGGGCUAGGGUCAGGUUUAAGGUUUUUGGGGUUAGGGUUAAAAUCACUGUCCAAGACCUUUUAAGGAACAUUUUUCAAACCUUUUGGAGUUAAUUAGACAAAAAAAAAACGAAAAAUGAAAAAAAAAUGUUUUGGGUGUUAGGGCUUCCUAUAGGUACUACCCGGGUAUUGGGUUUAGCAGCUAGAGUAAGGUUUAAGGUUUUUGGGGUUAGGGUUAAAAUCACUGUCCAAGACCUUUUUAGGAACAUUUUUCAAACCUUUUGGAGUUAAUUAGACCAAAAAAAAUGAAAAAUGAAAAAAAAAAAAAUGUUUGGGAUGUUAGGGCCUCCUAAAGGUAAUACCCGGGUAUUGGGUUACAGGGGUAAUGUUUAAGGUUUUUGGGGUUAGGGUUAAAAUCACUUUCCAAGACCUCUUUGUUACAUGUUUCAGAGCUUUUGGAGUUAGUUAGUCCAAAAAAACCGAAAAAUGAAUAAAAAAAAUGUUUGGGGUGUUAGGGUUUUCUUAAGGUAAUACCCAGGUAUUGGGUUACGGGUAAAGGGUAAGGUUUAAGGUUUUUGGGGUUCGGGUUAAAAUCACUGUCCAAGACCUUUUUAGGAACUCUUUUCCAACCUUUUGGAGUUAAUUAGACCAUAAAAAACGAAAAAUGAAAAAAAAAAUGUUUUGGGUGUUAUGGCUUCCUAUAGGUAAUACCCGGAUAUUGGGUUUAGCAGCUAGAGUAAGGUUUAAGGUUUUUAGGGUUAGGGUUAAAAUCACUGUCCAAGACCUUUUUAGGAACAUCUUUCAAACCUUUUGGAGUUAAUUAGACCAAAAAAAAAAAUGAAAAAUUUCAAAAACAUUUUUUGGGUUAUUUAGGGCUUUCUUUAGGUAAUACCUCGGUAUUGGGUUACGGGGCUAGGGUUAGGGUUAAGGUUUUAGGAUAAGGGUUAAUAUCACUCUCCAAGAACCUUUGAGGAGCAUGUUUCAAACCUUUUGGAGUUCGUUUGAAAAAAAAAAGAAGAAUUAAAAAAAAUUUAUUUUGGGUUCUUAGGGCUUCCUUUAGGUAAUAUCCAGGUAUUGGAUUCCGGGGUUAGGGUUAGGGUUAGGGUUUUCGGAAAAGGGUUAAUAUCACUGUCUCUAAGCAGCUGUGGACACACACCAUCUGGACCAGCUGCCUUCCAAAGUCUUCCAAGCUCCAACUUCACCCCUGUUUCUGUGACAGACAAGGACUGGUGCUCUAGGAGGGAAGUGGGUGUGACAGUAGUGUCAAAUCUGUCGAAGAACAGGUUGAGUUCAUCAGCUCUCUCCAGAUCACCCUCCACUGGCUGUUUUUUCUUUUUAUAUCUGUGUCCAGAGAUGGUACUGUUUCCUCUCCACACUUCACGGAUGUUGCUGUGUUGUAGAUUCCUCUCUAUCUUCUUUUUGUAUUCCAGCUUUGCCAUCUUCAGUCGCCUCUUCAACUCUUCUUGCACUUGUUGCACUUGUUUGACUUGUUCUUUGUCACCAUCUUUGAAAGCUUUCUUCUUCUAGUUAAGGAUUGCUUUUAUGUCACUUGUGAUCCAGGGUUUGUUGUUGGGGAAACAGCGAACAGUCUUUGUCGGUAUAACUGUGUUUCUACCAGAGUUGAUACAUCCAGUAAAGCAGUCAACUUGUCUGUCAAUGUUCAUAGUGUCCACAUCUGUUUCCAGCAGCACAUUUCAGUCUGUUGAUUUGAAACAGUCUCUUAGAGCUUCACUAGCUUGAGGUUUCCAUCUUCUGAUUUUGACUUUGGUCACAGGCUGCCUCAACACGCAAGGUCUGUAACAGGUUUGCAGAUAGAUCAAGUUAUGAUCUGACUUGCCCAGUGGUGGUAAGGCAGUGGCUCUGUAGGCUUCUUGACAUUGGCAUAUAGCAGAUCCAGGGUUUUGUUCUCUCUGGUAGGACAGUUCACAAACUUUGUGAAUCCUGUCAGGUGAGCGGAGAGGGUGACAUAGUUAAAGUCUCCUGAUAUCAUUAUUAGUGCCCCCGGGUGUUGAAUCUGUAGCCUGGCAACACUAUUAUGCACAAGAUUGCAUGGAAUUUCUUCAGUUGAUUUGGGUGGGAUGUAAAGAAGUAUUGUUAUGAUAUGACUGAAUUCUCUUGGAAUAUAAUAUGGCUGAAGAGCAACUGCCAACAGUUCAAUAUCUGGACAACACAACUUCUCCUUGACAGUUAUGUGUAUGUGCUUUUGUUGGGCAGAGAGGUGAUGUUUCCCAUGAUGACUGAUGGAAGAAAGGGUUUAUAUUGCCACCUCCUAGCAUUCAGCUUUGCCUUCACCUUUGCAUCAGCACAGCAACCAUGAUAACACCUCCUGAUGUCCUCUGGAAUUGUAUGUCGUUGUCUAGAUUUGCUUUUCUCAGUGAAAGGAGCUCUUCUCUUCAGUAAACUCUUCGCCUAGCAGAAGUAUCCAUCAGCAGCCAACAAAAAGACAACAAAAAUAUGAAAAAAAAAUCUAGCAAAAAUUACAAAAAAUACAGAGACCAGACUUGCAGCAACCUCUUGGUUCAAUGGCAUUAUUUAAGAUAGAUGAUAAGGUGGAAUCUGUGUUAAUAGAACGUACAGUCUUUACAGAUCACCAGGCUGUUACAAUAAAGAUCAAUGUGACAGACAUUAGAUAUCACUCUCAUAAAGAUCAAUAAAAAAUAAUUGCAAAAUUGGCUAUUUCAAAGUGAAGUCCAAAAGAUAAUAGAUAAAAUAUUAGAGGCAAGCAAAUUUAUUUAACAGUUUUUAAAAUUAUUGGGAGGUAAUGAAAUAUUACAAUAAAAUGUUAGCUAUUGCAUCUGGCGAAAAAAUGUUAAAGCAAAAAAAGGGGAGGAUCAGAUGAUUAGAAGAAUAGAUGGAGUAUCAGAGAAAAUAAGCUUGUCAAGAGAAGAACUGAAAGAUAUUUCAGGGUUACAACUUGAAUUGGACAAAAUACAUGAGGAAAAGGCCAGAGGGGCCUUUGUUCGGUCUCGAAGGAAGUGGCUAGAACAUGAGAAAAAGUACACCAAAUACUUUUUUAAGGUAGAAAAAAAAAGGAAUUUUUGAGCUGUCUUCUCUCUGUACACUUUAAAUUCAUAACCAAGUAUGUGAAGGUGAAGGAUAUACUUCCAAGUAUGCAGCUGAUUUCUACCAGAAAUGAUAUGCUGCUGACAUUAAAAACGAAGGCAACAUUGAUCUAUUUCUUCAAAAUAUUGAAAAGGAUGGAUGAACUCAACCUGUUCUUCAACAGAUUUGACACUGCUGUCACACCCACUUCCACUGCUACUCCACCUUCCUCUCUGCAACAAAUCUCCACUAUUACUUCUCCCGUUCUUCCUCCAUCUCGUUUAAGUGUCUCAACCACUUACUGCCUCCCUCCUAGAGCACCAGUCCUUGUCUGUCACCGAAACAGGGACUACAACCUGAGUCUACAGCUGGGGCGGGUACUUACUCUGUGGAAAACAUCCUGCAUUGUGCCAGUACCAAAAACAAAAUGUCCUGCUGAACUCAAUGACUACAGACCAGUGGCCCUCACUUCACACAUCAUAAAAACCCUGGAGCGGCUGAUUCUACGCCUUGUGAGGUCUAAACUUGAUUCCCUGCAGUUUGUAUACAAAGAACACAUUGGAGUGGAUGAUGCUGUCCUCUACAUGCUUCACCAUGUCCUGUCUCAUCUGGAGGAACCUGGGGUUUAUGUGAGGAUCAUGUUCUUCGACUUUUCAAGUGCAUUCAACACCAUCCAAUCCUCCAUACUCAGAGACAAGCUCACAGAGAUGUACAUCCUGCCUGAGUUUCCUGGAUGGCACAUUACCUGACAGGAAGGCCACAGUUUGUCAGGCUGGGGAACUGUGUUUCUGGGACCUUAAUGGGUAGUACAGGGGCUCCACAAGGGACAGUGCUGGCACUAUUCCUGUUCACACUGUAUACGUCAGGCUUCAAAUACAGCACUGAGUCCUGCCACAUCCUGAAAUACUCAGAUGACACCACUAUUGUUGCAUGUAUCAGAAAUGGUCAAGAAGCUGAAUACAGAGAUCUGAUAGGAGCCCUCAGUGAUUGGAGUCACAAAAACUGCCUCCUCCUCUUCAACACCUCAAAGACAAAGGAGAUGGCCAUAGACUUCCGUUGAUCCAAACCCUCUCUUCAGCCAGUGAACACCUGUGGAGUGGACAUCGAAGUGGUGACAUCAUAUAAAUACCUAGGUGUACAUCUUGAUAAUAAGUUGGAUUGGUCUAAGAAUAUAGACUUCAUCUACAGAGAGGGGCAGAGCCGCCUCUUUUGCCUGAGAAGACUAUGA
Molecule: long non-coding RNA, 6652 nt
Filed under: Xyrichtys novacula (pearly razorfish)
Lineage: Eukaryota; Metazoa; Chordata; Actinopteri; Labriformes; Labridae
Source: RNAcentral